GGGUUGUGAGGUUAAGCGACUAAGCGUACACGGUGGAUGCCCUGGCAGUCAGAGGCGAUGAAGGACGUGCUAAUCUGCGAUAAGCGUCGGUAAGGUGAUAUGAACCGUUAUAACCGGCGAUUUCCGAAUGGGGAAACCCAGUGUGUUUCGACACACUAUCAUUAACUGAAUCCAUAGGUUAAUGAGGCGAACCGGGGGAACUGAAACAUCUAAGUACCCCGAGGAAAAGAAAUCAACCGAGAUUCCCCCAGUAGCGGCGAGCGAACGGGGAGGAGCCCAGAGCCUGAAUCAGUGUGUGUGUUAGUGGAAGCGUCUGGAAAGGCGCGCGAUACAGGGUGACAGCCCCGUACACAAAAAUGCACAUGCUGUGAGCUCGAUGAGUAGGGCGGGACACGUGGUAUCCUGUCUGAAUAUGGGGGGACCAUCCUCCAAGGCUAAAUACUCCUGACUGACCGAUAGUGAACCAGUACCGUGAGGGAAAGGCGAAAAGAACCCCGGCGAGGGGAGUGAAAAAGAACCUGAAACCGUGUACGUACAAGCAGUGGGAGCCUCUUUUAUGGGGUGACUGCGUACCUUUUGUAUAAUGGGUCAGCGACUUAUAUUCUGUAGCAAGGUUAACCGAAUAGGGGAGCCGAAGGGAAACCGAGUCUUAACUGGGCGUUAAGUUGCAGGGUAUAGACCCGAAACCCGGUGAUCUAGCCAUGGGCAGGUUGAAGGUUGGGUAACACUAACUGGAGGACCGAACCGACUAAUGUUGAAAAAUUAGCGGAUGACUUGUGGCUGGGGGUGAAAGGCCAAUCAAACCGGGAGAUAGCUGGUUCUCCCCGAAAGCUAUUUAGGUAGCGCCUCGUGAAUUCAUCUCCGGGGGUAGAGCACUGUUUCGGCAAGGGGGUCAUCCCGACUUACCAACCCGAUGCAAACUGCGAAUACCGGAGAAUGUUAUCACGGGAGACACACGGCGGGUGCUAACGUCCGUCGUGAAGAGGGAAACAACCCAGACCGCCAGCUAAGGUCCCAAAGUCAUGGUUAAGUGGGAAACGAUGUGGGAAGGCCCAGACAGCCAGGAUGUUGGCUUAGAAGCAGCCAUCAUUUAAAGAAAGCGUAAUAGCUCACUGGUCGAGUCGGCCUGCGCGGAAGAUGUAACGGGGCUAAACCAUGCACCGAAGCUGCGGCAGCGACACUAUGUGUUGUUGGGUAGGGGAGCGUUCUGUAAGCCUGUGAAGGUGUACUGUGAGGUAUGCUGGAGGUAUCAGAAGUGCGAAUGCUGACAUAAGUAACGAUAAAGCGGGUGAAAAGCCCGCUCGCCGGAAGACCAAGGGUUCCUGUCCAACGUUAAUCGGGGCAGGGUGAGUCGACCCCUAAGGCGAGGCCGAAAGGCGUAGUCGAUGGGAAACAGGUUAAUAUUCCUGUACUUGGUGUUACUGCGAAGGGGGGACGGAGAAGGCUAUGUUGGCCGGGCGACGGUUGUCCCGGUUUAAGCGUGUAGGCUGGUUUUCCAGGCAAAUCCGGAAAAUCAAGGCUGAGGCGUGAUGACGAGGCACUACGGUGCUGAAGCAACAAAUGCCCUGCUUCCAGGAAAAGCCUCUAAGCAUCAGGUAACAUCAAAUCGUACCCCAAACCGACACAGGUGGUCAGGUAGAGAAUACCAAGGCGCUUGAGAGAACUCGGGUGAAGGAACUAGGCAAAAUGGUGCCGUAACUUCGGGAGAAGGCACGCUGAUAUGUAGGUGAAGCGACUUGCUCGUGGAGCUGAAAUCAGUCGAAGAUACCAGCUGGCUGCAACUGUUUAUUAAAAACACAGCACUGUGCAAACACGAAAGUGGACGUAUACGGUGUGACGCCUGCCCGGUGCCGGAAGGUUAAUUGAUGGGGUCAGCGCAAGCGAAGCUCUUGAUCGAAGCCCCGGUAAACGGCGGCCGUAACUAUAACGGUCCUAAGGUAGCGAAAUUCCUUGUCGGGUAAGUUCCGACCUGCACGAAUGGCGUAAUGAUGGCCAGGCUGUCUCCACCCGAGACUCAGUGAAAUUGAACUCGCUGUGAAGAUGCAGUGUACCCGCGGCAAGACGGAAAGACCCCGUGAACCUUUACUAUAGCUUGACACUGAACAUUGAGCCUUGAUGUGUAGGAUAGGUGGGAGGCUUUGAAGUGUGGACGCCAGUCUGCAUGGAGCCGACCUUGAAAUACCACCCUUUAAUGUUUGAUGUUCUAACGUUGACCCGUGAUCCGGGUUGCGGACAGUGUCUGGUGGGUAGUUUGACUGGGGCGGUCUCCUCCUAAAGAGUAACGGAGGAGCACGAAGGUUGGCUAAUCCUGGUCGGACAUCAGGAGGUUAGUGCAAUGGCAUAAGCCAGCUUGACUGCGAGCGUGACGGCGCGAGCAGGUGCGAAAGCAGGUCAUAGUGAUCCGGUGGUUCUGAAUGGAAGGGCCAUCGCUCAACGGAUAAAAGGUACUCCGGGGAUAACAGGCUGAUACCGCCCAAGAGUUCAUAUCGACGGCGGUGUUUGGCACCUCGAUGUCGGCUCAUCACAUCCUGGGGCUGAAGUAGGUCCCAAGGGUAUGGCUGUUCGCCAUUUAAAGUGGUACGCGAGCUGGGUUUAGAACGUCGUGAGACAGUUCGGUCCCUAUCUGCCGUGGGCGCUGGAGAACUGAGGGGGGCUGCUCCUAGUACGAGAGGACCGGAGUGGACGCAUCACUGGUGUUCGGGUUGUCAUGCCAAUGGCACUGCCCGGUAGCUAAAUGCGGAAGAGAUAAGUGCUGAAAGCAUCUAAGCACGAAACUUGCCCCGAGAUGAGUUCUCCCUGACCCUUUAAGGGUCCUGAAGGAACGUUGAAGACGACGACGUUGAUAGGCCGGGUGUGUAAGCGCAGCGAUGCGUUGAGCUAACCGGUACUAAUGAACCGUGAGGCUUAACCUUACAACGCCGAAGCUGUU
This 2929-nucleotide ribosomal RNA is filed under the name Escherichia coli. RNAcentral describes it as "23S ribosomal RNA". It matches the Rfam family "Bacterial large subunit ribosomal RNA". Lineage: Bacteria; Pseudomonadati; Pseudomonadota; Gammaproteobacteria; Enterobacterales; Enterobacteriaceae. The record is from RNAcentral.